AGUAACGCGUGGGUAACCUGCCUUAUACAGGGGAGUAACAGUCAGAAAUGGCUGCUAAUACCGCAUAAGCGCACAGAGCUGCAUGGCUCAGUGUGAAAAACUCCGGUGGUAUAAGAUGGACCCGCGUUGGAUUAGCUUGUUGGUGGGGUAACGGCCCACCAAGGCGACGAUCCAUAGCCGGCCUGAGAGGGUGAACGGCCACAUUGGGACUGAGACACGGCCCAG
RNAcentral lists this ribosomal RNA (225 nucleotides) under uncultured bacterium. RNAcentral describes it as "partial 16S ribosomal RNA". It matches the Rfam family "Bacterial small subunit ribosomal RNA", at positions 109 to 334 of the family's 1533-position model. The record is from RNAcentral.